Molecule: small RNA, 1467 nt
Filed under: Caenorhabditis elegans
Lineage: Eukaryota; Metazoa; Nematoda; Chromadorea; Rhabditida; Rhabditidae
Description: Unclassified non-coding RNA Y38H8A.13
Source: RNAcentral
UUAAUGUUCCAAGUGGCACUGGAAAUGUUAAAAGAGAACGAGAAGCUCAUUUGUGAAUCGAGAGAUGACGGAGAAAUUCUGAUGAGCCUUGCAAAAUAUACUGAAAGCAUUUACGAAGGGGAUACUGUAGUUGAGAGAAAACCAUCGACUGUACAACUUGGAACAACAAUUCUUUCGGAUUUGGAAGAGGCUGCAUCGACUAUGAUCAAUUUUAUGGGCACAGAUAUUACUCGAACGUUUCCAAAGGUAAUAUUUUUAGCCUGAAAUUUCGAAAUAAAAAUUAGAAAUAGGAUUUCUUCAGAAAAAAAACUAUUAAAAAAUGUUUUCUAAAUUUUCUUCUAAUAGAUAAUUCACAUGCCUGGAAAACUGUUUUCUGGUGUUGCGAAAAUUGGUUUUUUCGAUUUUUCGAAUUUUUAAUUUCAAAAAAUUUCAAUUUCUUUUUUAAAAGUCUCGAAUUUUCUAUAACUUUCUUACUGAAUAUUUUUAAAAUCUGAAAAUUUCAAUUUUACAUGAUAAGUAUUUUAAUUACAAAAACAUCGUUGUAUUUUUGCAAAUUACUAACUAGAAAAACAGAAAAAAAGAGCAACAUUCCAAAAACUAAAUUUUUUUUCCAAAUCAAAAAAUUUUAAUGAUUUUGAAAUCAUUAAAAAUCGUUUUUAAAAAUAUAACAAAAUUAAAACAAAAAUUAUUAUAAUUUCCGCUAAAACAACUCACUUCUCUGAAUUUUUUUUGCAAAUUUUGAUGGUUUUUAGAAAAACGGAAAAUUAUCAAUUCGAUCUCUUUUUGAAAAUUGAAAAAAAAAAAAAUUUAAUUACAAAAAAGUCUAAAAUAUUUCAUUUUUGCCAAAUUUACCAAAAAAAAAAGAAAAAGAGACUAGACUAACAAAAAAUUUAAUUUUUCCGAGAAAUAGAAAAUAGAAAAAUAGUUUUCAAAAAUUACAAAAAUGUACGAAAACUCCCCGAUUACUAUUUAUAUAUCUACAAAAAUAAGUAUUUAUAAUUUAAUGAAAGAAAUGCUCCUCAAAAAAUAUAUUUAUAUCUUAUAAUUUUCAAAAAAAAAAAGAAUGUUUGAAAUCACAAAAAUCCGGGGAAGAAUAUUGAUUUUCUUCAAAAAAAUAUACCGGAGCUAACAAUUUUUUAAUAAUAAAAUACCAGCAAAAAAAAACAAAAAGUAUUUUUAAUUUUAUCGAUAAUCCUCCAUGUGAUUUUACAACUUCCAAUCCACUUUUUUUAAACUCAGUAUUCAAUAUUCUAAUUUAGAUUCCCAUCGGUGACCUUCUGGCGAAUUCAUAUCAAAACUUUGGAUACUGCUUCACGAAUGAGAAUAUCGAAACUCUUCGCCUAAAAAAUCGUCUAAAAGUAGUCCAAAAUUUGGAAGACAAUCAGAUGAGAAGUAUUAUCAAGAGUAUUGGAAAAGAUUGCCGAUUUACGAAUGAAGAACUUGAAGCGUUGUAUAAUGUUGUGAAGG